GAAUUUCCUGCCGGCUCACAAAUUCGUCGUUGCUGCUACUGCUUGAAAGCCUUUUAGCGGAGGUCAGGUCGAUGCCUCCUUUGCCCAAAUGUUGUACUUCAUGCAGUGAGAGUAUUUUUAUGCACCAAACAUUAUUCACAAAUUCCUGCCAUGGGUCGUCGCCGACGAGAAGAACAUCGUUCUCCUGGUCGACGAAUACAAGCUGCCAGC
RNAcentral lists this unclassified non-coding RNA (210 nucleotides) under Hevea brasiliensis (rubber tree). The record is from RNAcentral. Lineage: Eukaryota; Viridiplantae; Streptophyta; Magnoliopsida; Malpighiales; Euphorbiaceae.